Molecule: ribosomal RNA, 451 nt
Filed under: uncultured bacterium
Lineage: Bacteria
Description: bacterial SSU rRNA
Rfam family: Bacterial small subunit ribosomal RNA
Source: RNAcentral
ACGCUGGCGGCAGGCCUAACACAUGCAAGUCGAACGCACCGCAAGGUGAGUGGCGCACGGGUGAGUAACACGUGGGAAUGUACCCUUUGGUUCGGAAUAACGUUUGGAAACGAACGCUAAUACCGGAUGAGCCCUGUGGGGGAAAGAUUUAUCGCCAAAGGAGCAGCCCGCGUCUGAUUAGCUAGUUGGUGGGGUAAAGGCCUACCAAGGCGACGAUCCGUAACUGGUCUGAGAGGAUGAUCAGUCACACUGGAACUGAGACACGGUCCAGACUCCUACGGGAGGCAGCAGUGGGGAAUAUUGGACAAUGGGCGAAAGCCUGAUCCAGCCAUGCCGCGUGUGUGAAGAAGGUCUUCGGAUUGUAAAGCACUUUAAGUUGGGAGGAAGGGUAGUAACCUAAUACGUUGCUACUUUGACGUUACCGACAGAAUAAGCACCGGCUAACUUCGUG